RNAcentral lists this unclassified non-coding RNA (227 nucleotides) under uncultured Hydnotrya. RNAcentral describes it as "sequence contains ITS2". The record is from RNAcentral. Lineage: Eukaryota; Fungi; Ascomycota; Pezizomycetes; Pezizales; Discinaceae.
AAACCUCUCCGCCGCGCGAGCGCUCCCCUCUUUUGCGGAGGGGCGGCGAUCGGCGGUGGGGGUGGUGGCGGACGCAGACGCCCCUAAAAGCGUGUGCGCCGCUCAAAACCUCGGUCCGCGAGCCCGCAGGGCGAACCCGGCGUAGUGACUACAAUUCUCGCCGGCGAUUCAAGGCCCCCAGAAAGCGGCCCGGGACCUUUAAGCGCUCCGGCGCCGAACCCCACUGC